Non-coding RNA from Ciona savignyi (Pacific transparent sea squirt), 72 nucleotides. Lineage: Eukaryota; Metazoa; Chordata; Ascidiacea; Phlebobranchia; Cionidae. The record is from Rfam.
GGCCCGUUGGUCUAGGGGCAUAAUUAUCGCUUUGGGUGCGAGAGGUCCCGGGUUCAAAUCCCGGACGGGCCC